RNAcentral lists this ribosomal RNA (390 nucleotides) under Triticum aestivum (bread wheat). RNAcentral describes it as "partial small subunit ribosomal RNA". The record is from RNAcentral. Lineage: Eukaryota; Viridiplantae; Streptophyta; Magnoliopsida; Poales; Poaceae.
AUGGCGGGCGCGGGCUUUUAUCACGCAACAUUUCGUGAUGGAGCCAGUGGUUGUAUUCAUAUUGGUUUGGGUUCAGAUAGAAGAGCUCCAUGCUUACAAACUUUUGGGAUAACCGAGUUUAUCAAUGCCAAAGUCCUGCAGGAGCGCGGCGCUUUGCUGACCAAGAAGAUUGAGAGGGGGCGCCAAUUGCUAGAGAGCGAGAAGGCCCGAACUGCUGCGUUGGAGGCCUCAGUAUCCGAUUGCAUCUCCGAGGAGCAAUAUUGCGAGAUGCGUUGUCGUCUUGCGAGAUGCGUUGUCGUCUUAGCUUGGUUUGUAAGGAGGCCAGCAAUUAUCAGAGCAUCGCCGAGUUGGAUGCUUUGGAGGCCUGUUCCUGCCAGGAAUUAUUGUUGA